Molecule: unclassified non-coding RNA, 250 nt
Filed under: Hevea brasiliensis (rubber tree)
Lineage: Eukaryota; Viridiplantae; Streptophyta; Magnoliopsida; Malpighiales; Euphorbiaceae
Source: RNAcentral
AACAGGAGCUUGGACAUACGUUAGUGGCGGUGCAGAAAAAAUCCUGGCCAGGCUCCACAUUGUUGAAUUUUCCAUACUCGUGUAUGAGUUCCAUAGAAUUUAAAGAUGCCCAUCCCAAACCUGUAGCGUGCGUUUCAGUAGCUUCCAGAGGAAAUUAUAUUUUAUUCGUUCUACAAUAGGUAGUAAUUGAUCAACAGAAUUUUGGAGACCUAGCGUACAGAAAAUAUUAUGUUACUAAAACUUUCCGUUG